RNAcentral lists this signal recognition particle RNA (99 nucleotides) under Phycisphaerae bacterium. RNAcentral's name for it is "signal recognition particle sRNA small type". It matches the Rfam family "Bacterial small signal recognition particle RNA". From Rfam's summary of the family: The signal recognition particle (SRP) is a universally conserved ribonucleoprotein involved in the co-translational targeting of proteins to membranes. Archaeal SRP consists of a 7S RNA and homologues of the eukaryotic SRP19 and SRP54 proteins. The record is from RNAcentral. Lineage: Bacteria; Pseudomonadati; Planctomycetota; Phycisphaerae.
GGUCGGGUCCCAUGCAGUGGGGCUGAGGGACAACGGGUCAGGACCUAACGGUAGCAGCCCAGCCUUUGUGUUCCAGGUGCCGUGGUCAACCUGGCCCUC